RNAcentral lists this non-coding RNA (222 nucleotides) under Planococcus glaciei. RNAcentral describes it as "Planomicrobium glaciei T-box sequence". It matches the Rfam family "T-box leader". Rfam says of the family: Uncharged tRNA acts as the effector for transcription antitermination of genes in the T-box leader family. The record is from RNAcentral. Lineage: Bacteria; Bacillati; Bacillota; Bacilli; Caryophanales; Caryophanaceae.
UUUGAUGCGUUGAUGAGGAUAGUAGAAUGUGCGUACAUUUCAGAGAGAAAACCGAGUGGUGAGAGGUUUUCAUGAACCAGCAUUUGAAUGUCACCUCGGAGCAGUUCCCGUGAAAGUUGAGUAGUGGGAACCGGAUGUGAAAUCCGUUAUCGAACUUGAGAGCCAGGUUUAUUUUGACUUGUGCAUAAAGGUGGUACCGCGAACAACUCCUUCGUCCUUUUA